GAUUGAACGCUGGCGGCAGGCCUAACACAUGCAAGUCGAGCGGAUGACGGGAGCUUGCUCCUGGAUUCAGCGGCGGACGGGUGAGUAAUGCCUAGGAAUCUGCCUGGUAGUGGGGGAUAACGUCCGGAAACGGGCGCUAAUACCGCAUACGUCCUGAGGGAGAAAGUGGGGGAUCCUCGGACCUCACGCUAUCAGAUGAGCCUAGGUCGGAUUAGCUAGUUGGUGGGGUAAAGGCCUACCAAGGCGACGAUCCGUAACUGGUCUGAGAGGAUGAUCAGUCACACUGGAACUGAGACACGGUCCAGACUCCUACGGGAGGCAGCAGUGGGGAAUAUUGGACAAUGGGCGAAAGCCUGAUCCAGCCAUGCCGCGUGUGUGAAGAAGGUCUUCGGAUUGUAAAGCACUUUAAGUUGGGAGGAAGGGCAGUAAGUUAAUACCUUGCUGUUUUGACGUUACCAACAGAAUAAGCACCGGCUAACUUCGUG
RNAcentral lists this ribosomal RNA (485 nucleotides) under uncultured bacterium. Its description in RNAcentral is "partial 16S ribosomal RNA". It matches the Rfam family "Bacterial small subunit ribosomal RNA", at positions 27 to 507 of the family's 1533-position model. The record is from RNAcentral.